CCGUUCACUCAACUCGUCAGUCGAUUAUUGAAUUUCGAAUGACAGUUCAGUGCGCGAGA
Molecule: microRNA precursor, 59 nt
Filed under: Pristionchus pacificus
Lineage: Eukaryota; Metazoa; Nematoda; Chromadorea; Rhabditida; Neodiplogasteridae
Description: microRNA ppc-mir-2238h precursor
Rfam family: mir-2238 microRNA precursor family
Source: miRBase by way of RNAcentral